This 1404-nucleotide long non-coding RNA is filed under the name Mus musculus (house mouse). RNAcentral describes it as "predicted gene, 50232". The record is from RNAcentral. Lineage: Eukaryota; Metazoa; Chordata; Mammalia; Rodentia; Muridae.
UUUUUUUUUUUUUUUUUUUUUUGGUUUUUGAAGACAGGAUUUCUCUGUGCAACUCUGCUUGUUCUGGAACUCUCUCUGUAGACCAGGUGGGCCUCCAACUCACAAAGAUCCACCUUCCUCUGCCUCCCAAGUGCUGGGAUUAAAGUUGUACACCACCACAUCCAACUUGGUGUUCUAAUGAGAACCAGGCAUCAAACUGACUUCUGGUUUGUACAGCAAGUAUUUUACCCUCAAGCCAAGUCUCCAGCCCUGGCCCUUCUUUUGAGGUAUGGUCUAGCUGGCAUCAGGUAUCUGAGCUCAUAGGCAGAGGCUAGGACGACAGGCGCACACCAUUACAAUGCCUGGUUCAGUUUUUCUUUCUGUAAAACAAAACCAUAAGGGUUCCUGUGCACUACUUUCAUGAUCAAGACAUUACCAUAGCCGGGCGGUGGUGGUGGCAGCGCACGCCUUUGAUCCCAGCGCUGAGGAGGCAGAGGCAGGCGGAUUUCUGAGUUCCAGGCCAGCCUGGUCUACAGAGUGAGUUCCAGGAUAGCCAGGGCUACACAGAGAAACCCUGUCUCGGAAAACAAAAAAGCAAGCUUUUCUGAAGGUAUAAAUAUUAUCUCAAAACCUGUAAGAUUAUUAUGUAGUAGUUAUACAGAACACUAAUUCUGGAAAUAAGUUUUGUAGCCUCCCUCAGCCUUGAAGCAGGCUGAUCCAGACUUUGACCUUGCUGCCACUAAGGAGGAGAUUACCUAGGGUCUACGCCUUCUGACCUGGAUGGCUCUAUUUGCUCUUCUCCAAGACUCUGCUUCCUGCAGAAAGGUCCGUGAGAUGUUCCAGAGACACACCCUGUAGAUCGCCUAUGGGCUGGCUCCAGGCACCAAGAAUGGGCUGGUGGGGGAUGGGCCUACCCUCUUUAUAAAUACAGAUUCAGUAAACUUCGAAGGCUUUGAACAGAAAGGUUUGUCUUGGCCUCAUUCUUUUCUCACUGUCUGAUCUCUUUCAGCCCCAGCCUGCCUUUCAGGGGAACCCAGUUCAAGUGGUUGCAGGCCGCUACAAAUUUGAUCUAGCUUCCUUUGUGUGCUUGCAGGUUGGAGUCUGAAACAGGUUAACUAGAAACAAAGUUUGUGUACUUAAUAGAUUGUGAUGCGCAAGACAUUCAAACUACUGAGUUCAUAGGACACUGACAUGAAGUUUUACAUAAUUUUUUAAUACAAAAUACUUAAUCUUAAGACUCCCAAAAAUAGCUGGGCGUGGUGGCGCACGCCUUUAAUCCCAGCACUCGGGAGGCAGAGGCAGGCCGAUUUCUGAGUUCCAGGCCAGCCUGGUCUACAGAGUGAGUUCCAGGACAGCCAGAGCUAUACAGAGAAACUCUGUUUCGAAAAAACCAAAAAAAAAAAAAAAAUAAAAUAAAAUAAAAAA